GAAUGGAAUGAUCGAUCCAUUGAUUUUAAUGGAACUACUCAUUGUCAGCAAGGAUAUCAGCAUCUGACCGAAUCUGAAGAGGAGGAGAGGUUGGGGACUAGGAUGAGAAGAUGCAAGUUUCCUCUGGACCAGUGGAGAUUCCUCAGGAGGGGUAUUUUCAUUGAAGGAUUCCAUUCAUACAACAGGCA
Molecule: non-coding RNA, 188 nt
Organism: Caretta caretta (loggerhead turtle)
Lineage: Eukaryota; Metazoa; Chordata; Testudines; Cheloniidae
Source: RefSeq, a predicted model, not a curated record